Long non-coding RNA from Passer domesticus (house sparrow), 1112 nucleotides. RefSeq lists it as uncharacterized. The transcript has 3 exons. Lineage: Eukaryota; Metazoa; Chordata; Aves; Passeriformes; Passeridae. The record is from RefSeq and is a predicted model, not a curated record.
UGCUGCCAGCGCUCAGUUGUCGCUCGCUCUGCGCUCUGCCCGUCAGCACUCAGCUGUUGCUGCUGCUGCCUGGGAUUUUCCUGACGCCUGCUCUGGAGCACCAACCCCAGCAGGAUGAGCACUGCUGCUCCAGUGGAGACUAUCAGAGACAAUGUGGAGGAGAUGGAAGUGGACAUGGGGCAGAAUGAGGAUGAAAAGAUGGAGGUGGAUGUGAAAGAGCAGGUUGAGGACAUGGAAGUAGAUGUGGAGGAUGACAUCGAGGAGAUGGAAGUGGACGAGAAGGAUGAGGAGGAGCCCAUGGUCCUUGGAUGAAGAUGGAGCCCCACAAGACUGCUGGAGAUGACGGCCGUACAUAUUACGCCUGUGUAUAUACGUUUCAAAAGUUAGAAUAUUUUUGUAAAUAUGUUCUUAGGUUAGUAGUUCACUGCCAAUAUGUUUUGAAGAUUGUUAGUCCAUAGGAUCCCAUGUAAAUAUGUGCUGUGGAUUGUUGUUGUUGUUGUUCUAAGGAUUGUUGUAAUGAAAGGUGUUCUGUAAAUCCUCGUGUUUGCCGAUCUUCGCCAAAUAAAUACUACUUCUUUAUAAAACUUCACUUCUCUUUCUCAUUCCUUUGGGCACUGUCAGAAACCCGGACGUCCCCCUGACCAUCCUAAAUGAUUCCAGCCCCAGCCAGGGGGCUUUAAAUCCCUGGCAGGUGGUUCGGAGACCCUGGCAUGUAGCCAAAGACCCCUGUGCCUUUGAAUUUAACUCAUAAAGCAAGUUACCACCUUUAUGUCAAGAAUUAAAAGUCACAAAAAUUUAGAUAGUCUAGUAAUAGUAAUCACAAAGUUAACGGAAAACAUUUAGAGCACUGUACAAAGAGGUUUUAAACCUUGUGCGAAAGAGUCUGGAAUUCUCUACAUAGAAGUCAAAGGUUCUAAGAUAGAAAAUUUGGGCGUACCCUGUCCUUCCUCUUUCUUCUCCCUAGCAUCCACAUGAAAGAUGAUGUUAGCAUCCACAAAUUGGUUUCAAGUAGAAAGUCACUAUCUAACUUAAGUAAUAGGUAUUAAAACAUUAUUCUAAACAUAGUAUACGCACUUUUUAAUAUAAAAGAUAACACCAACCCGAGAGGCAAA